UUUUAGUUUUUAUACAAUACUAAAUGUACCUAUGGACUUAAAAUUUACUCAAACAGGGUACAGCCUAUUUGACACAGGAUACAACCUUUAACAGAGGGUAAUGCAUAAGCUAACGUGAUCAAGUAGGCCUAAAAGCAGCCACCUUUUAAAAAGCGUCACAGCCUUAUCACACUAUAUUAUCAAUCCCAACCUUAACCCAAAACCCCUUAUCAAUACUGAAUGACCCCAUACUAAUAUGGAAGCCCUUCUGUUAAAACUAGUAACAAGAAUAAUUAUUCUCCUACAAAUGUAAAUGUAAGCCGAAAUGGACCACCCAUCGGCACUUACCGCUAAUGACCCCACAGUAUUAACCCCCCCCCCCCCCC
This 365-nucleotide ribosomal RNA is filed under the name Mantophryne cf. lateralis LAO-2013. RNAcentral describes it as "partial 16S ribosomal RNA". Lineage: Eukaryota; Metazoa; Chordata; Amphibia; Anura; Microhylidae. The record is from RNAcentral.